RNAcentral lists this unclassified non-coding RNA (520 nucleotides) under uncultured Glomus. RNAcentral describes it as "SSU rRNA". It matches the Rfam family "Eukaryotic small subunit ribosomal RNA", at positions 569 to 1089 of the family's 1831-position model. The record is from RNAcentral. Lineage: Eukaryota; Fungi; Glomeromycota; Glomeromycetes; Glomerales; Glomeraceae.
AGCAGCCGCGGUAAUUCCAGCUCCAAUAGCGUAUAUUAAAGUUGUUGCAGUUAAAAAGCUCGUAGUUGAAUUUCGGGAUUAGUAAGUUGGUCGUGCCUCUGGUAUGUACUGGCUUUACUGGUUCCUCCUUCUUGAAGAACUGUAAUGUCAUUAAUUUGGUGUUGCAGGGAAACAGGACUGUUACUUUGAAAAAAUUAGAGUGUUUAAAGCAGGCUAACGCUUGAAUACAUUAGCAUGGAAUAAUGAAAUAGGACGUUUGAUCCUAUUUUGUUGGUUUCUAGGAUUGACGUAAUGAUUAAUAGGGAUAGUUGGGGGCAUUAGUAUUCAAUUGUCAGAGGUGAAAUUCUUGGAUUUAUUGAAGACUAACUACUGCGAAAGCAUUUGCCAAGGAUGUUUUCAUUAAUCAAGAACGAAAGUUAGGGGGUCGAAGACGAUCAGAUACUGUCGUAGUCUUAACCAUAAACUAUGCCGACUAGGGAUCGGAUGAUGUUAAUUUUUUAAUGUACUCAUUCGGCGCCUU